GACGUAGGAUGCGAGCGUUAUUCGGAUUUAUUGGGCGUAAAGCGUGCGUAGGCGGCUAUUUAAGUCUGGUGUUAAAGCUAGGGGCUCAACCCCUGUGAUGCACUGGAAACUGGGUAGCUUGAGUGCGGUAGGGGAAGGUGGAAUUCCGAGUGUAGCGGUGAAAUGCGUAGAUAUUCGGAAGAACACCGGUGGCGAAGGCGACCUUCUGGGCCGCAACUGACGCUGAGGCACGAAAGCCUGGGGAGCGAACGGG
This 253-nucleotide ribosomal RNA is filed under the name uncultured bacterium. RNAcentral describes it as "partial 16S ribosomal RNA". It matches the Rfam family "Bacterial small subunit ribosomal RNA", at positions 524 to 776 of the family's 1533-position model. The record is from RNAcentral.